RNAcentral lists this long non-coding RNA (2410 nucleotides) under Gossypium barbadense (sea-island cotton). RNAcentral's name for it is "long non-coding RNA (GBAR_LNC004478)". Lineage: Eukaryota; Viridiplantae; Streptophyta; Magnoliopsida; Malvales; Malvaceae. The record is from RNAcentral.
GAUUUUUUAGUAGAAUAGCUUAAUUUUGUUAUUAAAUAAGAGAACAAAUUUUCAAACAAUAAGACAAAUAUAGAAAAGUACACAAAAAAUGAAAUAUUCCCCAAUCCUAAUUAAAAGAAACCCAACCAAAAUAAAUGAGUUCUAAAGUUCCUUUCGAAGCAUAGAAAGCAAUGAAAAUAGCAGUUUGUCUGAAUCAUCAUCGUCCCUUAAGAUUAAGCAGAUUUUAGGGACUAUCUUCAAGCAACCAACGAAAUCACAGUAUAAUCUAGCACGUCUGUCAACCAUCGGUCUCUCUGCACUGCAUCAGUAACAAACAGAGGCAUUUCUUCUAACUAAUAAGUUGUUUCUCCUCUCCUUAUUCCUUCUGUAGCUAAGAGAUGUGCUACUCCGUUCCCCUGUCUCGGUGCAUGUCUGAAAAUACAUCUUCGAUAAUUCUCAUUAAGUGAUCUCAAAUCCAUAGUAUAUAUGCACUAAAUUCAUAUCUCUUACCCAUUUGCAUGAAGCUUUUUCACCACUUUGAGUGCAUCACCUUCAAUCUCCACCUUCGGGAAACCCAAAUCAAGACCCAUUUGAACUGCUUGGAAGCAUGCAAGAGCCUCACAGCAAAAGUCGCAGGUAUGUGAUUAUUUAGUAUCAUUCUGGAUCCUAACACCAAACCAUUCAAGUUUUUAACCACAAUAUCCGUACAUGACCUAUUUGUAUGGUUUUAAAAAGUAACAUCAUAAUUAAUCUUUGCAAAAAGAAUCUCUGACGGCCUCUAUUGUUCAGUCUCCACCCUCCUAACAAGUAAUUUUUGGUUGAUUGCAUCUAAUUCUCGAAUAUAAGAAAUGAUCAAAUGGGUUGUGUCUUGAAUUGUUCGUCUGUUCCAUUCAUGAAUUGCUUUAUUUCUUGUUGUCCAUAUUGCCCAAAUUGCACAAGCCAUAAUCUUGCAAUGGUAAUUUAAAUGAUUCGAAAAAAUAUAUGCCAAUACUCUUUAUAUUCUAAGUUUGAGACUUCAUAGGGCCAUUCAAUAUUUAACUCAUUGUCAUAACCUAAAGUAGGGCUUAAAAAUUUUAAGAGUAUUUUAGGAAUUUUAGCCUAUAUGAGUUCGAAAUUUCAUUAGGGUGGUACUCGAUAAUUUUUUUAACAAUGGUUUUCAUAAAGUUAAGUCAAUUUUUGGAAAUGAGUUUUAAAUAUUUUUAAUUUUAGAAAAGGGACUGAUUUGUAAAAGGGUUAAAGUUGUGAGUCUUUAUGAAGAAUUAAACCAAUUUUUCAAAAUCAACCUAAAUAAACCCCCAUUCCCAGUCAAUUUCACGAAUGCUUCUUCCCAUCUCUUUAGUGUUGUCGUCGUUUGCUAUUCCUCACUCUCUCAAUUUGACUAUUAAACUAUAAUACUUUGAAUUCCUAUCAUUUCCAAGUAUUAAACCUUUACAAAUCUUCAAGAAAUUACCCGAAAAUCUCACCAAUUUCAUCAUUUUCCUCAAGUGUGAAUUUUCUUGAAUUUACAUCAAAUCUCCAUUUUUCUUCUCUCGAAGGUAACCAAUCAUCUACCCAUUAGUUUUAAAUGUUAUUUAGUUCUUUAAACUUAAUUUUUAGCCGUUAAAUCGCAUGUUUUUUAUUAAAAGCCGAAAAUCAAGUCUUUAAUGGUGAAUUUCAAGUUUGUGGAUAAAAAUUGGUUUUAAAGUGUUUUUGAAUUAGUUUUAAUAUGAUUAGAAGCUUUCUAAAGUAAUUUGAAGUUUCGUCAAGGAUUUCUCAGAUUUUAAUGAAUUUUCAUUGUAAUGGCCAAAACUUGUCGAAAAAUUUAAAUACCUUAAAACUCAUAAUUUUGUAUAGUUUAAAGGUUGGGAAUUGGUCGUAGAUGAAUAUGUAGAUGAGUAGAAUUUAUUUUUUGCGAAAAGAUUAAGUGUAGACUGAGUUAUUCAAAUUUUAAGUUUAUCGUGCUAAAGGCUUUGGUUAGAAAAGAAUGUAGCUUAGACUUGUGUUUGUGGUUGUUUGAGGUGAGUUAUUGACUGAUUGUUGACUGAAUAUAUGUGUGGUUUGUCUUGUUGAAGUGUCAGAGUCAAUAGGACUUUCAACGAGUAGAGAUAAAGGCAAAAGGGAAGCAUGUCUAAGCUUUUAGUUUUUCAGCAAAAGCGAAUAUUUCGGUGAGUGUUUUAGAAUCGCUGCUCGUAUAUGAUUCAUUGUGUAUUCGGGAAUUUAGAGGUAGCCUAAACCCCUUCUCUAAGUUCCAAGUGUAAGUGUUCUUUUACCUAUGCUAAAUAUGUGAUAAAUGUCUACGAACUGUGAUAAAAAGAAUUAUGAUGUGAUGAAAUAUGAACAUGUUGUUAUUACUGUUGUGACAGUAAAUAUAAGGGUAUGUCAUUUAUGUCAUGUGAUAGUGUGUAUAAUAUGCUCUUGAUAUGAUUGUGCGGUGAAUAUGUGAGGAUAAUUG